RNAcentral lists this ribosomal RNA (183 nucleotides) under uncultured bacterium. Its description in RNAcentral is "partial 16S ribosomal RNA". It matches the Rfam family "Bacterial small subunit ribosomal RNA", at positions 1317 to 1500 of the family's 1533-position model. The record is from RNAcentral.
UGCAUGAAGUCGGAAUUGCUAGUAAUCGCAGAUCAGCAUGCUGCGGUGAAUACGUUCCCGGGCCUUGUACACACCGCCCGUCACACCAUGGAGUCGGUAACACCCGAAGCCUGUAGUCUAACCGCAAGGAGGACGCAGUCGAAGGUGGGAUUGAUGACUGGGGUGAAGUCGUAACAAGGUACC